GUACACUCCUACGGGAGGCAGCAGUGAGGAAUAUUGGACAAUGGGUGGAAGCCUGAUCCAGCCAUCCCGCGUGCAGGAAGACGGCCCUAUGGGUUGUAAACUGCUUUUAUCUGGGGAUAAACCUACUUACGUGUAAGUAGCUGAAGGUACCAGAAGAAUAAGCACCGGCUAACUCCGUGCCAGCAGCCGCGGUAAUACGGAGGGUGCAAGCGUUAUCCGGAUUUAUUGGGUUUAAAGGGUCCGUAGGCGGACUGAUAAGUCAGUGGUGAAAUCCGACAGCUUAACUGUCGAACUGCCAUUGAUACUGUUAGUCUUGAGUAAGGUUGAAGUGGCUGGAAUAAGUAGUGUAGCGGUGAAAUGCAUAGAUAUUACUUAGAACACCAAUUGCGAAGGCAGGUCACUAAGUCUUAACUGACGCUGAUGGACGAAAGCGUGGGGAGCGAACAGGAUUAGAAACCCGUGUAGUCCCAUG
RNAcentral lists this ribosomal RNA (472 nucleotides) under uncultured organism. RNAcentral describes it as "partial 16S ribosomal RNA". It matches the Rfam family "Bacterial small subunit ribosomal RNA", at positions 331 to 799 of the family's 1533-position model. The record is from RNAcentral.